UGGGGAAUAUUGGGCAAUGGGCGCAAGCCUGACCCAGCAACGCCGCGUCAGGGAAGAAUAAGGAUGACGAGUCAUUCGAUGCCAGUACUUGACGAAUAAGCAUCGGCUAACUCCGUGCCAGCAGCCGCGGUAAUACGGGGGAUGCGAGCGUUAUCCGGAUUUAUUGGGUUUAAAGGGCGCGUAGGCGGGACGUCAAGUCAGCGGUAAAAGACUGCAGCUAAACUGUAGCACGCCGUUGAAACUGGCGCCCUGGAGACGAGACGAGGGAGGCGGAACAAGUGAAGUAGCGGUGAAAUGCAUAGAUAUCACUUGGAACCCCGAUAGCGAAGGCAGCUUCCCAGGCUCGUUCUGACGCUGAUGCGCGAGAGCGUGGGUAGCGAACAGGAUUAGAUACCCUGGUAGU
This 403-nucleotide ribosomal RNA is filed under the name uncultured Butyricimonas sp. RNAcentral's name for it is "bacterial SSU rRNA". It matches the Rfam family "Bacterial small subunit ribosomal RNA", at positions 355 to 794 of the family's 1533-position model. The record is from RNAcentral. Lineage: Bacteria; Pseudomonadati; Bacteroidota; Bacteroidia; Bacteroidales; Odoribacteraceae.